RNAcentral lists this ribosomal RNA (301 nucleotides) under uncultured bacterium. Its description in RNAcentral is "partial 16S ribosomal RNA". It matches the Rfam family "Bacterial small subunit ribosomal RNA", at positions 509 to 807 of the family's 1533-position model. The record is from RNAcentral.
CAGUAGCCACGGGAAUACGGAGGGUGCAAGCGUUAAUCGGAAUUACUGGGCGUAAAGCGCACGCAGGCGGUCUGUCAAGUCGGAUGUGAAAUCCCCGGGCUUAACCUGGGAACUGCAUUUGAAACUGUCAGGCUGGAGUCUUGUAGGGGGGGGUAGAAUUCCAGGUGUAGCGGUGAAAUGCGUAGAGAUCUGGAGGAAUACCGGUGGCGAAGGCGGCCCCCUGGACAAAGACUGACGCUCAGGUGCGAAAGCGUGGGGAGCAAACAGGAUUAGAUACCCGGGUAGUCCCUGUCUCUUAUAC